CAAAAUCUAAAACCGGUCCCAGUUCGGAUUGCAGGCUGCAACUCGCCUGCAUGAAGUUGGAGUUGCUAGUAAUCGCGGAUCAGAAUGCCGCGGUGAAUGCGUUCCCGGGUCUUGUACACACCGCCCGUCACACCAUGGAAGUUGGGGCGCCCGAAGUUGGUCAAGAAGAGAUUACCUAAGGCGAAACCAAUGACUGGGGUGAAGUCGUAACAAGGUAAC
RNAcentral lists this ribosomal RNA (219 nucleotides) under uncultured bacterium. RNAcentral describes it as "partial 16S ribosomal RNA". It matches the Rfam family "Bacterial small subunit ribosomal RNA", at positions 1268 to 1500 of the family's 1533-position model. The record is from RNAcentral.